RNAcentral lists this ribosomal RNA (253 nucleotides) under uncultured bacterium. RNAcentral's name for it is "partial 16S ribosomal RNA". It matches the Rfam family "Bacterial small subunit ribosomal RNA", at positions 524 to 776 of the family's 1533-position model. The record is from RNAcentral.
UACGUAGGCAGCGAGCGUUGUUCGGAGUUACUGGGCGUAAAGAGUGCGUAGGCGGUUUUCUAAGUUUGGUGUGAAAUCUCCCGGCUCAACUGGGAGGGUGCGCCGAAGACUGGAAGGCUUGAGUAUGGGAGAGGUAAGCGGAAUUCCUGGUGUAGCGGUGAAAUGCGUAGAUAUCAGGAGGAACACCUGCGGUGUAGACGGCUUACUGGACCAUAACUGACGCUGAGGCACGAAAGCUAGGGGAGCAAACGGG